UUCGCUUAUUCCGUUGUCCUCGGGACGUUAAGCUGCUCUGGUCGAGGAUAAACGACCCCUCUGACUGAGGUCAAACCCGUCGCUCUGUGUUACCUCUGUCUGAGGCACACGUUAAAGAUCGUUCCGCGUUGUGAGUCUAACACCAGUUGUAUAAACUUUUUACAACCGGUAGCGAUGGAUCCCUUGGCACGUCAUUCGAUGAAGACCGUUGCAAAUUGCGAUAAAGUGAUGUGAUGCGCAAGUCCACCACUUAUACGUGAAUCAUCGAGUUGUUGAACGCAUUGCACCGCGCCCUAAUCCGGCUGCGGUAUGCCCCUUUGAGCGUCAUUGUAUUCCUUCGGGAGUCCUUUUUACAAAGGACCCGAGUUCGGAGUCCUCGGUCCUCUGGAUCGUGUUCUCUUAGAUGCGUCGCACCGAUCGCCUGAUGGGUCUCUAAUGCCUAAGCGUGGAGUUCCUUCAGAGUCCGAGAUGUGCUUGACCGGGUGUUGAGCUCGUGUCACCAAGUCUGCCUCACAAGCAGUACUACAACGCAUGACCUCAUUGGGGUAGGACAACCCGCUAGACUUAAGCAUAUUAAUCAGCGGAGGAAAAGAAACUAACCAGGAUUCCCUUAGUAACUGCGAGUGAAGCGGGAUCGGC
This 639-nucleotide ribosomal RNA is filed under the name uncultured Tulasnellaceae. RNAcentral describes it as "eukaryotic LSU rRNA". The stretch from base 533 to 639 matches the Rfam family "Eukaryotic large subunit ribosomal RNA", at positions 1 to 108 of the family's 3401-position model. The record is from RNAcentral. Lineage: Eukaryota; Fungi; Basidiomycota; Agaricomycetes; Cantharellales; Tulasnellaceae.